RNAcentral lists this ribosomal RNA (303 nucleotides) under uncultured bacterium. Its description in RNAcentral is "partial 16S ribosomal RNA". It matches the Rfam family "Bacterial small subunit ribosomal RNA", at positions 507 to 807 of the family's 1533-position model. The record is from RNAcentral.
AGCAGUCGCCACGGGAAUACGUAGGGUGCAAGCGUUAAUCGGAAUUACUGGGCGUAAAGCGUGCGCAGGCGGCUUGGUAAGUUAGAGGUGAAAGCCCGGAGCUCAACUCCGGAAUUGCCUUUAAGACUGCCGAGCUAGUAGGUGAGAGAGGUAAGUGGAAUUCCGAGUGUAGAGGUGAAAUUCGUAGAUAUUCGGAAGAACACCAGUGGCGAAGGCGGCUUACUGGCUCAUUCUAGACGCUGAGGUGCGAAAGCGUGGGGAGCAAACAGGAUUAGAUACCCCUGUAGUCCCUGUCUCUUAUAC